This 1598-nucleotide unclassified non-coding RNA is filed under the name Hevea brasiliensis (rubber tree). Lineage: Eukaryota; Viridiplantae; Streptophyta; Magnoliopsida; Malpighiales; Euphorbiaceae. The record is from RNAcentral.
AUCUUCUGUGAGAUUACGCAUUUUUAUCUCUACCGGCUAUUACAACAAUUCUACAUGGUUAAUCUACAUUAUUCAAUUCUAGUUAUUUCAGAAUCCUCGAUCUAACAUUUGGCAAUGUUACAAGGGCAGAAAAUAAGACCGACAUCCCCCCCACCUUCACCUGGAUUCAAUGGCAUAAGUUUCUGAGCCUCGUAGAAAUGAUCGGCGCCACCAAAUCUGGAAUGCUCUGCUGAGAUUGGGGCAUUCAGUGCCAUGCUUGGAGAAACACCUAAACCAUUCCAUAAACAACAUAUACUGCUGCUUCAGAGGAAGUGUUAGGAGUGUCUGACCCAUGGCUUCUUCCAGUGCCUUCAUGUCCAACCCCUUUUUGCAUCUCUGCAGCCAACCAAAAUCUGCUAGCAUUGGGUGAAACCACGCCUGGAAAAGCCCUGCUCUUGCUUCUGCACGGCAAUGCAGUUUUCUGGUCCCCAUUGCAAUGAAUAGAGUUGCAGAAACCCGACUAAGCUCAUAUCUAACCAUUGGAGAUGUGCUCUCAUGCAUUCUAAGCAGGUCCCCUUGAUCUGCCCACAUAUCCACAAAUUCUUCGCCCAUCUGCUGAUCAAGAAGCAUUUCUAGCAACCAGUUGAUGUUAUCAACCUGUCUAGAGAUGCGUUCAAUCAAUGUUUUGCCUGUUUUCGUCACCUUCCGAUUGGGUGAAGUGUUGGAGGCCUCUUCCAAAAGGGUGCCUAAUGAACUUAGACAAGACUGACAAACAACAUAGAGAUCCUCCUUAUUAAGUUCAGGUUGGUCCUUCUCAUAGAUUGAGCUUUUGCUAAAAAGACCCUUAACUAAUGACUUUAGUUCAUUUCUUGCAUUGGCAUCUGUACAAGUGGUGAUAGACCAAACAAGUUGUCUAGCUAAAUUUUGUUGACACUCUACUGAGUCAUGCAAGUAGAGUCUGGCCAAAAUAUCUUGAGUUGCUGUCUCCUCAAAUUUACACACUGAAAACAGACCCCUGAGUUUUUCCUCUUCUUCUUCAGUCCAAGGAACAGCCUCAAGGUAUUUCAAACAGGAUGAAACACCUUUGGUAAACAUGAUGCCAGCAGAAACCUCAAGAAUAUCAAUGGCUCUAUAAACCCCAAUCUUCAAGAGCCUUUUAGUAAUAUUGUCCUCGAACAUUAGCUCAAUUGUGUCCCUAAAAACCCCCAAAUUCUCUACAUCAGGCACCUCUAUUCUACACAUUUUCAACGAAUAAUUAUUGCCUUUUCUAUCACUCGUCGACCCCAAACCUUGCCGAUAUUCCGAAAUUAACCCUGCAAAAACCUCCGAAUUCGCAAUCAGAACCUCCGAGCUAGUUUCCAGCACCAAUGCCCCUCCCUUCUUCCCCCUCAAGUUUAGCCUCACGUCAAACAAGCCCUCAUACUGCUCCCAACCCGAACCCGAAUGCAACAAAGAUCCCUCAUUCUUGCCCCGGAAAGACUCGGAUCUUGAUUUGAGAGCUGAGUCGACGACUGUAGAUGGGUCAGGGACGAUUUCUUGGACGGAAUAGCCGGCGGUGGGGUCGGAGUCAAUGGGAGAGACACGGCCUGGGGAGAGGAUCCGGCGGGGGUCGAUCCUAC